Aotus nancymaae (Ma's night monkey) is the source of this 164-nucleotide small nuclear RNA. Its record names the gene U1. It matches the Rfam family "U1 spliceosomal RNA". From Rfam's summary of the family: U1 is a small nuclear RNA (snRNA) component of the spliceosome (involved in pre-mRNA splicing). Its 5' end forms complementary base pairs with the 5' splice junction, thus defining the 5' donor site of an intron. NCBI's taxonomy places the organism in Eukaryota, Metazoa, Chordata, Mammalia, Primates, Aotidae. The record is from Ensembl.
AUACUUACCUGGCAGGGGAGAUACCAUGAUCAUGAAGGUAGUUUUCCCAGUGCGAGGCUUAUCCAUUGCACUCCAGAUGUGCUGACCCCUGCGAUUUCCUCAAAUGUGGGAAACUCGACUGCAUAAUUUGUGGUAGUGGGGAACUGCGUUCGCACUUUUCCUUG